Molecule: ribosomal RNA, 560 nt
Filed under: Isochrysis galbana
Lineage: Eukaryota; Haptophyta; Isochrysidales; Isochrysidaceae
Description: partial Bacterial small subunit ribosomal RNA
Rfam family: Bacterial small subunit ribosomal RNA
Source: RNAcentral
GCAACGCGCAGAACCUUACCAGCCCUUGACAUCCUCAUCGCGAUUUGUGGAGACACAUAUCUUCAGUUCGGCUGGAUGAGUGACAGGUGCUGCAUGGCUGUCGUCAGCUCGUGCUGUGAAGUGUCGGGUUAAGUCCCUUAACGAGCGCAACCCCUAUUGUUAGUUGCUAACGCGUCAUGGCGAGUACUCUAGCGAGACUGCCGGUGUCAAACCGGAGGAAGGUGGGGAUGACGUCAAGUCCUCAUGGCCCUUACGGGUUGGGCUACACACGUGCUACAAUGGCGGUGACAGUGGGACAAUCCCCAAAAACCGUCUCAGUUCGGAUUGUUCUCUGCAACUCGAGAGCAUGAAGGUGGAAUCGCUAGUAAUCGCAGAACAGCAUGCUGCGGUGAAUACGUUCCCGGGCCUUGUACACACCGCCCGUCACACCAUGGGAGUUGGUUCUACCCGACGACGGUGCGCUAACCUUUUCGGAGGCAGCCGGCCACGGUAGGAUCAGCGACUGGGGUGAAGUCGUAACAAGGUAGCCGUACUGGAAGGUGCGGCUGGAUCACCUCCUU